This 76-nucleotide transfer RNA is filed under the name Desulfovibrio sp. An276. Its description in RNAcentral is "tRNA-His". It matches the Rfam family "tRNA". Rfam says of the family: Transfer RNA (tRNA) molecules are approximately 80 nucleotides in length. Lineage: Bacteria; Pseudomonadati; Thermodesulfobacteriota; Desulfovibrionia; Desulfovibrionales; Desulfovibrionaceae. The record is from RNAcentral.
GCGGAAGUAGCUCAGUUGGUAGAGCAUCUGAUUGUGGCUCAGAGGGCCGAGAGUUCAAGCCUCUUCUUUCGCCCCA